This 218-nucleotide long non-coding RNA is filed under the name Elaeis guineensis (African oil palm). Its description in RNAcentral is "long non-coding RNA (EGUI_LNC065621)". Lineage: Eukaryota; Viridiplantae; Streptophyta; Magnoliopsida; Arecales; Arecaceae. The record is from RNAcentral.
GGUUCCUUUUCCUCAGAGCUUGAAACUUCAUCAUUACUCCAUGUGGCCAUCAUGGCCUUCUUUCUAAACUCUUUGAACUUUUCUUGAGUAGGGGUAGCCGGCUCUAAGGUGAUCGGGUCUUUUGCAUUCAUAAUAGAUAGCUAGUUGAUCAUUCUCUUUAUCUUUUUUCAUUUCUUUGCUUCCUUCCCCUCUAAUGUAACCUUUUUUCUUGGUGCCAA